Long non-coding RNA from Eubalaena glacialis (North Atlantic right whale), 318 nucleotides. RefSeq lists it as uncharacterized. Lineage: Eukaryota; Metazoa; Chordata; Mammalia; Artiodactyla; Balaenidae. The transcript is spliced from 3 exons. The record is from RefSeq and is a predicted model, not a curated record.
AGUCAACCUGAAGAUAGAGCACACCUCAUCAGCUAUCUGCGCAGAAAGUUUUCAGGCUCUGAGUGAGCCCUCUUCAUCGAAGAAGCUGUGGACUUCAAAGGCAGUCCAUCACGGUCUUUGAUAUUUGUCGAAUUGAAUUUUGGAAACUGCAGGGAACCUCAUUUCCAGUUCAAGCUCUGGGAUACCUUAGAAAGUCUUCCCAGCCAAGAAAAUUGUCAUGUGCCAUUAAUGAUCUACAUUUGAAGUUGAUCUUUGUUUCAAUACCAUUGGCCUACUUCUUUGGACUGUGAUCUUUGACCAAUUUCAUUUUGGGGAAUU